UACGAAGGGGGCUAGCGUUGCUCGGAAUCACUGGGCGUAAAGGGUGCGUAGGCGGGUCUUUAAGUCAGGGGUGAAAUCCUGGAGCUCAACUCCAGAACUGCCUUUGAUACUGAAGAUCUUGAGUUCGGGAGAGGUGAGUGGAACUGCGAGUGUAGAGGUGAAAUUCGUAGAUAUUCGGAGGAACACCAGUGGCGAAGGCGGCUCACUGGUCCGGUACUGACGCUGAGGUGCGAAAGCGUGGGGAGCGAACAGG
This 253-nucleotide ribosomal RNA is filed under the name uncultured bacterium. RNAcentral describes it as "partial 16S ribosomal RNA". It matches the Rfam family "Bacterial small subunit ribosomal RNA", at positions 524 to 776 of the family's 1533-position model. The record is from RNAcentral.